UAGGGUAGUAGUUAAUUAUAACAUUUAAUUUGCAAUUAAAAAUUAUUGAACCAUCAAUAUACCUUAA
RNAcentral lists this transfer RNA (67 nucleotides) under unidentified. Its description in RNAcentral is "Chlorophila portschinski tRNA-Arg". The record is from RNAcentral.